RNAcentral lists this ribosomal RNA (2245 nucleotides) under human gut metagenome. RNAcentral's name for it is "bacterial LSU rRNA". It matches the Rfam family "Bacterial large subunit ribosomal RNA", at positions 257 to 2523 of the family's 2925-position model. The record is from RNAcentral.
ACGCGGAAGAGGCCAAACCAGAGGUAGCAAUACCUUUGGGGUUCGGACAGCGCACGGUAUGGAAGGUAUCUAGCAGAAUGGCAUGGGAAGGCCAACGAGACAGGGUGAGAGUCCCGUAUGCGAAAGAGAAGAUCCGCCAGCUGAAUCCAGAGUACCGCCGGACACGUGAAACCCGGUGGGAAGACGGGGGGACCAUCCUCCAAGCCUAAAUACUACUCAGUGACCGAUAGUGAAGAGUACUGUGAAGGAAAGGUGAAAAGCACCCCGGGAGGGGAGUGAAAGAGAACCUGAAACCUUGUGCUUACAAGCACCGAGAGCCCGUCAACGGGUGAUCGGGUACCUUUUGUAGAAUGGUCCGGCGAGUGAAUGUAACUGGCAAGGUUAAGGACUUAAGGUCUGAAGCCGCAGCGAGAGCAAGUCUUAAUAGGGCGUAAGAAGUCAGUUGUAUUCGACCCGAAACCGGGUGACCUACCCAUGUCCAGGUUGAAGUGGAGGUAAAACUCCAUGGAGGACCGAACCGACUCCCGUUGAAAUGGUAGCGGAUGAGGUGUGGGUAGCGGAGAAAUUCCAAUCGAACCCGGAGAUAGCUGGUUCUCCUCGAAAUAGCUUUAGGGCUAGCCUCGCAUUAGUUUACCGGAGGUAGAGCACUGAAUGGUCUAGGGGGCCUCACCGCCUACCGAAACCUAUCAAACUGCGAAUGCCGGAUAAAUGAUGUGCGGGAGUCAGGCCGCGAGAGAUAAGUUCCGCGGUCAAAAGGGGAACACCCCAGAUCGUCUGCUAAGGUCCCCAAGUACGCGUUAAGUGGGAAAGGAUGUUGGAUUGCACAGACAACCAGGAUGUUGGCUUAGAAGCAGCCACACAUUCAAAGAGUGCGUAAUAGCUCACUGGUCGAGUGAUCCAGCGCCGAAAAUGUAACGGGGCUAAAACGCGACACCGAAGCAGCGGGAUGCGUAAGCAUCGGUAGAGGAGCAUUGUGUGAGGAUAGAAGCCAGAGCGGGAGCACUGGUGGACUUCACAGAAGAGAGAAUGCCGGUAUGAGUAGCGAGACCCAUGCGAGAAACAUGGGCGUCGAAGGCCCAAGGUUUCCUGGGGAAGGUUCAUCCACCCAGGGUAAGUCGGGACCUAAGCCGAGGACUGAGGUCGUAGGCGAUGGACAGCAGGUAGAGAUUCCUGCACCACUUACACUUGUUUGACGAAGCAGUGACACAGAAGGAUAGGACGAGCGCGGUGAUGGUCAACCGCGUAGGCAGCACGAGGCCGGGGAGCAGUUAAGUACACUUCCCAUGAAGGCUGAGUGCUGACAGGACCGAAAAAGAGUAGGGAAGCGUCUGAGUUCACGCUGGCGAGAAAAGCUGCUAAGGAGAGUGUGAGUGCCCGUACCGGAAACCGACGCAGGUGGGCGAGGAGAGAAUCCUGAGACGGACGGGAGAACUCUUGUUAAGGAACUCGGCAAAAUGACCCCGUAACUUCGGGAGAAGGGGUGCCUCGAAAGAGGCCGCAGAGAAUAGUCACAAGCGACUGUUUAGCAAAAACACAGGUAUCUGCGAAAGCGAGAGCUGACGUAUAGGUGCUGACGCCUGCCCGGUGCUGGAAGGUUAAGGGGAAGUGUUAGGGGAAACCCGAAGCAGAGAACCGAAGCCCCAGUAAACGGCGGCCGUAACUAUAACGGUCCUAAGGUAGCGAAAUUCCUUGUCGGGUAAGUUCCGACCCGCACGAAUGGCGUAACGACUUGUGAGCUGUCUCAACAGGAGGCCCGGUGAAAUUGAAGUAUGUGUGAAGAUGCACAUUACCCGCGACUGGACGGAAAGACCCCGUAGAGCUUUACUGUAACCUGACAUUGGAUCUUGAUAACGGAUGCACAGGAUAGGUGGGACGCAGAGAGACGAGGACUUCGGUUUUCGUGGAGCGGCCGUUGGGAUACCACUCUUCUGUUAUUGAGAUUCUAACCUCAAGCCGUAAGCCGGAUGAGAGACAGUGUCAGGCGGACAGUUUGACUGGGGCGGUCGCCUCCGAAAGAGUAACGGAGGCGCCCAAAGGUACCCUCAGAAUGGAUGGAAACCAUUCGAAGAGAGCAAAGUCAGAAGGGUGCUUGACUGCGAGACCAACAAGUCGAGCAGGUACGAAAGUAGGGCUUAGUGAUCCGGCGGUAAGAGAGUGGAAUUGCCGUCGCUCAACGGAUAAAAGCUACCUCGGGGAUAACAGGCUGAUCUCCCCCAAGAGUUCACAUCGACGGGGAGGUUUGGCA